Molecule: long non-coding RNA, 244 nt
Organism: Hyaena hyaena (striped hyena)
Lineage: Eukaryota; Metazoa; Chordata; Mammalia; Carnivora; Hyaenidae
Exons: 3
Source: RefSeq, a predicted model, not a curated record
GCCCAUUGAUCCACUUGUUAGUCUCCAACAUGGAUGACCGUAUUUUCCACGACCUCACUAGUAAAUUUUCAAAGGACAGUAAGCUGGAGGCUGCCGUCUGAAGAGGGAGACGAUGAGGGCGCCGUGCUGCCCAGCUAGCGGUACAGCCACCAUCCAACCAGAGUGACAGCCAGAGCGCAGCUGGAAGGAGCCCUCACAGACCCUCGUCCUCAUGCUUGGGACAGCAGCGUCUCUGCUCACCGCC